AUGUGCAGUCGCUGGGAGCCACGAACCCUUCCCAAAAGACACGUGGCUGCAGAGAGGUUUCCAGGAAUGCCUCCUCCCCGCUGCGCCCUCGCUGCGGCACAGUCUGCUCCUGCCCCAGCACGGAUCCGUCCUUGCCUCGGGCAUCCCCGGGGGAAAAAAAGCAGCGUUGUGGCAGCAGCCGGGAACAGGGACAGAAACCUGUGCCCAUCAGCUGCUGCUUCUGGCAGCUCCCUGGCUCCGCCACCCACCCCAACGUCUGCUGAGGCUCUGCCAGCAGCACCCGGCUGCUGUCCCUCUGCCCUGUCCCUGCUGUCACCAGCGCCGUGCCGUGGCACAGCCUGUCCCCUGCCCCGCCGAGGACAACAUUUCUCUGCCCUCCCCACUCCCGUGGCUGCGGGCAGAGCCUCCUCUCUCCCGACCCAGCCACGACUUCCAGCUCGGUGGAUUUUUCCCCUGCGUAACGCCUUGUUUGCGCCCGUUCACCCUCCAGCCCUUUGGCUGCAGCAACUCUGCCGAGGGAGACGACUUGCCAGGGAAUGUCACUUCUCAGCGCUGGCCCCGUCCUGCCCUCUGCGUGUUUGCUCUGCCGAUUCCCCUCUGUUCGCAGCCUGUUUGCUGCCAGGAGCGGCACAAGGCCAGCGCAGGGCCACCAAGCCGUCCCCUGCUGCCUUUGCCCUUUCAUCCCUCUCCUGCUCCAAAAUUUCUCCGAGCAGAAGCGCCGUGCCCAGCUGCAGACCCGCACACGCAGCCCUUCGGGCUGGCACCAGCGAGCAGUGCCACGGCAAUGGUGUCAUCGGUGUCCCCGCAGCCUUCCUCCCCCCCUCGUCACCGUCACCUGGUGGGGACAGAGCUGGGCACGGCUCCAUGGCUCCAGCCUGCAGGGCACCCUCGAGGCUUCCAGGGCCUUUGUGUCCCAAAACUGGGGAGGAAAAAUAUCUGGCUUCAUGGGGAGCAGUGGAGCCCCCCAUCUCCAGACCCCCUCCCCGCGUCCUCCUGAGUUCCUAA
RNAcentral lists this long non-coding RNA (1005 nucleotides) under Anser cygnoides (Swan goose). RNAcentral describes it as "lncRNA (ENSACDG00005014666.1)". The record is from RNAcentral. Lineage: Eukaryota; Metazoa; Chordata; Aves; Anseriformes; Anatidae.